Molecule: ribosomal RNA, 497 nt
Filed under: uncultured bacterium
Lineage: Bacteria
Description: partial 16S ribosomal RNA
Rfam family: Bacterial small subunit ribosomal RNA
Source: RNAcentral
GAUGAACGCUGGCGGCGUGCCUAAUACAUGCAAGUCGAGCGAACAGACGAGGAGCUUGCUCCUCUGACGUUAGCCGCGCGCGGGUGAGUAACACGUGAAUAACCUACCUAUAAGACUGUGGUAACUUCGGGACACCGGAGCUAAUACCGGAUAAUAUAUUGAGACGCCUGGUUCAAUAGUGACAGACGGUUUUGGUGUCCCUUAUUGAUGGAUCCGCGGCUCAUUAGCUAGUUGGUAAGGUAAGGGCCUACCAAGGCAACGAUGCGUAGCGGACCUGAGAGGGUGAGCGGCCACACUGGAACUGAGACACGGCCCAGACUCCUACGGGAGGCAGCAGUAGGGAAUCUUGCGCAAUGGGCGAAAGCCUGAUGGAGCAACGCCGCGUGAGUGAAGAAGGCCUUCGGAUUGUAAAACACUGUUAUCAGGGAAGAACAAAUUUGUAAGAAACUAGGCACGUGUUGACGGUACCGAAACAGAAAGCAACGGCUAACUACGUG